This 546-nucleotide ribosomal RNA is filed under the name Triticum aestivum (bread wheat). RNAcentral describes it as "partial small subunit ribosomal RNA". Lineage: Eukaryota; Viridiplantae; Streptophyta; Magnoliopsida; Poales; Poaceae. The record is from RNAcentral.
AUGCGGGAGUUUUGGAGUAUAUACAAACUAGUUGAUGAUUCUCCUGCCCAAAUAAUUGAAGCUGAUCGUAUUCUUGAAAAUUCUGCAAAGAGACAAUUUAGGCAGAAGUGGUACCAAGCCCGUAAGGAAGCCGUCAAACUGUACUAUAAGGAUAUUGUUAAGGAGCCCAUCAAAGAUCAUGAAGCAUGUCAAAAAGAGCUUACCAAAAACCAAUAUAUGCAAGCUCAGCUUUAUUGGUGCACUGAUCAUGAAGUGUGGGAAAGCAUAUGUGACUACUGGUGCUCCUCUAAAUUCGAGGGGUUGCGGAACCUUGGCCGAGUGUCACGCUUCAAGUCAGAGGAUAUUGCUCAAAACCGGGGUGGUUCACGAUCAUUUGUUCAGACCGAAAGCAUGUUGGGAAAAGAGCAUGGGCCUGCAGCAGCAACAAACAUGAACACUUACAAGUGCAUGAAGGCAGGAGUUAAAAUUGUACCGAGAGUGGAGAAAGUGGCCCCAUCAACAACACUAAGGUCAACGAGGGUCUUAACACCUAUUACACAGUUCUGA